AUUUGUGUACCUAAAUAGAGGGAAGGUUUGGGGUUCAGGGAUUUACACAAUUUUAAUCUAGCUCUACUUGCUAAACAGGUUUGGAGGUUGCUCAAGAACUCUGACUCUCUAUGUGCACAAAUUUUGAGGGUCAAAUAUUAUCCAGAUGGGAAGUUAUUGGAUGCUAUCUUGAGGAUUGGAAGCUCGUACACAUGGCAAAGUAUUUGCGCUGGAAUUAACACAUUCAAGAGAGGUGCAAUAUGACGCACAGGGGAUGGAUCGCAAGUGAAUAUUUGAUCUGAUUCGUGGAUACAAUCUAGUGCUGAUGGGCGUGUCAUUACACCACGAGGAGGGACCCUUCUACCUAAGGUUUCAGAACUAAUUAAUCCUGUCACCGGUUUGUGGGAUCAAGAGUUGAUAAACGAUGUGUUUUGGCUGGUAGAUGCGCAUAUAAUUCUUUCACUACCGCUGGCACCACAUGAAAUGAUGGAAGACUUCGUGGCCUGGAGGUUUACAAAGAACCAUAUUUUCUCGGUGAGAUCAGCUUAUUAUGUGGAGUGGAAACACCAAUUUGCCCAAUGGUAUGAAUGA
RNAcentral lists this ribosomal RNA (570 nucleotides) under Triticum aestivum (bread wheat). Its description in RNAcentral is "partial small subunit ribosomal RNA". The record is from RNAcentral. Lineage: Eukaryota; Viridiplantae; Streptophyta; Magnoliopsida; Poales; Poaceae.